Long non-coding RNA from Scomber japonicus (chub mackerel), 794 nucleotides. RefSeq lists it as uncharacterized. Lineage: Eukaryota; Metazoa; Chordata; Actinopteri; Scombriformes; Scombridae. The record is from RefSeq and is a predicted model, not a curated record. The transcript is spliced from 3 exons.
UGGUCUUGCUAUCUCAAUAGAGAGAAGGUUUUUCUUUCUCCAGACCGAGGAGGAGGAGGGGGAGUAGGAGGAAGGAGGAAGGAGGAAGAAGGAAUGAAGAGGAGGUCUGGCUGUGACCUUCUGACACCCUGACUCAGGGACAUGUGGAUCACUUCCUGUGUGGCAGGAAAGAUCUACCAGACCAUGUGUUAAGAAGAGCAAAUGGAAAAGACUUCAUGAACUGGAUAUUUAUCAAGAAGAAGAGUAGUCUCAUGCAGUAGGUCUGUCAGUUCUGGCCCAGUGCAAGCGUGUACGGUUCAGGUGCCUGACCCCGGAUCUGCUUCAACGCCUCCCAGCUGAGAGGUGCGGCAUGACCUGACCAGCACUCAUGCAGUCAUAAUGGUAUGUGAAUGUGUGUGUGUGUGUUGUCAUGAUUGGAUGUGAUGGAUUUUAACUAUUUAAGUGUCAUAAUCAUCCGCAACAGUUUUAUUUAUUCAUGCUGGCUCCUCUGUAUCUGAUAAUGCUCUCUGUAACAUCCGCUCCCUGCUCUGAACUGAUAUUGCUUAAACUGCGUCUACCAGAAAACCCGCUCACACGGCUUGAUUGACAGGUGACUUCUGGGAUGACACUAAAUAAAAAUACGAUUUCCCACAUUACCACUUUAAACAGGACAGAAAACAUUUGCAGUGGAAGAAGCUAAAAACACUAACAAAAAUCAAUCUGUCCUAUUCAAAUGACCGACUGAUCAAUGUGAGUAGGAGUCACUGCUCAUCUGUGUGUGUGUGUGAGAAAGAGAGAGAGAGAGAGAGAGUGUG